Molecule: unclassified non-coding RNA, 380 nt
Filed under: uncultured bacterium
Lineage: Bacteria
Description: contains 16S-23S intergenic spacer region
Source: RNAcentral
UCCGGUUUGUCACCGGCAGUCAACCUAGAGUGCCCACCAUCACGUGCUGGCAACUAAGUUCAAGGGUUGCGCUCGUUGCGGGACUUAACCCAACAUCUCACGACACGAGCUGACGACAACCAUGCACCACCUGUCUCCUCUGUCCCGAAGGCCGCUGCUAUCUCUAACAGAUUCAGAGGGAUGUCAAGACCUGGUAAGGUUCUUCGCGUUGCUUCGAAUUAAACCACAUGCUCCGCCGCUUGUGCGGGCCCCCGUCAAUUCCUUUGAGUUUUAGCCUUGCGGCCGUACUCCCCAGGCGGGGCGCUUAAUGCGUUAGCUACGGCACGGAUCCCGUGGAAGGAAACCCACACCUAGCGCCCACCGUUUACGGCGUGGACUAC